This 310-nucleotide long non-coding RNA is filed under the name Gossypium barbadense (sea-island cotton). Its description in RNAcentral is "long non-coding RNA (GBAR_LNC010927)". The record is from RNAcentral. Lineage: Eukaryota; Viridiplantae; Streptophyta; Magnoliopsida; Malvales; Malvaceae.
AUUCCAAUCACCUUCUGGUGUCACCAUUGUGUAAACCGUAGUAUUUGAAAAUGUUGGUUGUAGUAUAAUGCAAUACUCACUCAAUGGACCUAAGUCCCUGAACCAGGUAUCUGUCUAGAAUUUCACCUCUCGACUAGUUACCACCUUCCAAGACAUUUUCCCCUGAAUAUCCUUCCAAACAAUCUUCAAGGACCGCCAAUGUAACACCCCAAACCCGGCCCAGACGUUAUGGCCGGAUCUGACAUGCCACACUGAAGCGUUCAAAACAUUUUAUAUUGUUGAUCCAGAAAAACUUACUUAGUGUUUUAAA